CCUGUGAAGUUAGGCAUCAAUCAAUCCGAAAGAAUUAUUAAGAAAACAAAAAAGAAAGAAACAAUUUUUGCAUGAAGCAUGGAGCCAAAAGGCAUCAAUCAAUCCUCUCUCUCUCAAGAAAAUAUCUUCAAAUAGUGUAUAGAAGAGGUUGGAGCACUAGUAAAGUUGGGAAUUCUUAUAACGUUUAACUAAGCUUGGAAUGGAAAAUAAUCCUUCAGAGGAGGUCUCACAAAUCAAACCAAAUAGGGUGGUGUGUGUUUUGUGAUGAACAAGUCCUGGAUCUGCAUGAAGCAAGACCCAUUGCAUGAUAGAAUUGGUUCAUAAGAUCAAUGGCGUUGGAGGCAGGACACUACAAGCUAUAUAUAUAGUCUCCUUGUAAGAACUUCAAACUCCACGACGUUCAUUUGUUUUAUUGCUUGUUGCUUUCAAUCAAUUAGCUCUACUCAAUGAUUUUAACACAAAAAUCAUUACUGUUUAAGAGCUCUACAUGGACAAUCAAAUCCUAUAUUGCUUUUGGUCCUGUUC
This is a long non-coding RNA of Populus trichocarpa (black cottonwood), 525 nucleotides long. RefSeq lists it as uncharacterized. Lineage: Eukaryota; Viridiplantae; Streptophyta; Magnoliopsida; Malpighiales; Salicaceae. The transcript is spliced from 2 exons. The record is from RefSeq and is a predicted model, not a curated record.